RNAcentral lists this ribosomal RNA (722 nucleotides) under uncultured Fusobacterium sp. Its description in RNAcentral is "bacterial SSU rRNA". It matches the Rfam family "Bacterial small subunit ribosomal RNA", at positions 28 to 776 of the family's 1533-position model. The record is from RNAcentral. Lineage: Bacteria; Fusobacteriati; Fusobacteriota; Fusobacteriia; Fusobacteriales; Fusobacteriaceae.
GAUGAAUGCUGACAGAAUGCUUAACACAUGCAAGUCAACUUGAACUUCGGUUUGGGUGGCGGACGGGUGAGUAACGCGUAAAGAACUUGCCUCACAGAUAGGGACAACAUUUGGAAACGAAUGCUAAUACCUGAUAUUAUGAUUUUAGGGCAUCCUAGAAUUAUGAAAGCUAUAUGCGCUGUGAGAGAGCUUUGCGUCCCAUUAGCUAGUUGGAGAGGUAACGGCUCACCAAGGCGAUGAUGGGUAGCCGGCCUGAGAGGGUGAUCGGCCACAAGGGGACUGAGACACGGCCCUUACUCCUACGGGAGGCAGCAGUGGGGAAUAUUGGACAAUGGACCAAGAGUCUGAUCCAGCAAUUCUGUGUGCACGAUGAAGUUUUUCGGAAUGUAAAGUGCUUUCAGUUGGGAAGAAAAAAAUGACGGUACCAACAGAAGAAGUGACGGCUAAAUACGUGCCAGCAGCCGCGGUAAUACGUAUGUCACAAGCGUUAUCCGGAUUUAUUGGGCGUAAAGCGCGUCUAGGUGGUUAUGUAAGUCUGAUGUGAAAAUGCAGGGCUCAACUCUGUAUUGCGUUGGAAACUGUGUAACUAGAGUACUGGAGAGGUAAGCGGAACUACAAGUGUAGAGGUGAAAUUCGUAGAUAUUUGUAGGAAUGCCGAUGGGGAAGCCAGCUUACUGGACAGAUACUGACGCUGAAGCGCGAAAGCGUGGGUAGCAAACAGG